UACAGAGGUCUCAAGCGUUGUUCGGAUUCAUUGGGCGUAAAGGGUGCGUAGGUGGUGGGGUAAGUCGGAUGUGAAAUCCCGGGGCUCAACCCCGGAACUGCAUUCGAUACUGCCUUGCUCGAGUACUGGAGAGGAGACUGGAAUUUACGGUGUAGCAGUGAAAUGCGUAGAUAUCGUAAGGAAGACCAGAGGCGAAGGCGAGUCUCUGGACAGUUACUGACACUGAGGCACGAAGGCCAGGGGAGCAAACGGG
Molecule: ribosomal RNA, 253 nt
Filed under: uncultured bacterium
Lineage: Bacteria
Description: partial 16S ribosomal RNA
Rfam family: Bacterial small subunit ribosomal RNA
Source: RNAcentral